UACAGAGGUCUCAACCGUUGUUCGGAUUCAUUGGGCGUAAAGGGUGCGUAGGCGGUCGGGUAAGUCGGAUGUGAAAUCUCAGGGCUCAACCCUGAAACUGCAUUCGAUACUGCCUGGCUAGGGUACUGGAGAGGAGACUGGAAUUUACGGUGUAGCAGUGAAAUGCGUAGAGAUCGUAAGGAAGACCAGUGGCGAAGGCGGGUCUCUGGACAGUUCCUGACGCUGAGGCACGAAGGCCAGGGGAGCAAACGGG
Molecule: ribosomal RNA, 253 nt
Filed under: uncultured bacterium
Lineage: Bacteria
Description: partial 16S ribosomal RNA
Rfam family: Bacterial small subunit ribosomal RNA
Source: RNAcentral